UUCGGUCAUGGUGCGCGGGGGUACAGCGGCGCCGUCGCCGCCACCAGUGUCAGAGCUGAACGGUGCCGCUUCUUGCACGGCUGAUCAAGGC
This 91-nucleotide transfer RNA is filed under the name Leishmania major strain Friedlin. RNAcentral's name for it is "tRNA_aspartic-acid". Lineage: Eukaryota; Euglenozoa; Kinetoplastea; Trypanosomatida; Trypanosomatidae. The record is from RNAcentral.